This 253-nucleotide ribosomal RNA is filed under the name uncultured bacterium. Its description in RNAcentral is "partial 16S ribosomal RNA". It matches the Rfam family "Bacterial small subunit ribosomal RNA", at positions 524 to 776 of the family's 1533-position model. The record is from RNAcentral.
UACGUAGGGUGCAAGCGUUGUCCGGAAUUAUUGGGCGUAAAGAGCUCGUAGGCGGUCUGUCGCGUCUGCUGUGAAAACUCAGGGCUUAACCCUGAGCUUGCAGUGGGUACGGGCAGACUAGAGUGCGGUAGGGGAGACCGGAAUUCCUGGUGUAGCGGUGGAAUGCGCAGAUAUCAGGAGGAACACCGAUGGCGAAGGCAGGUCUCUGGGCCACUACUGACGCUGAGAAGCGAAAGCAUGGGGAGCGAACAGG